CCGACGUCGCAUGCUCCCGGCCGCCAUGGCGGCCGCGGGAAUUCGAUUAGAGUUUGAUCAUGGCUCAGGACGAACGCUGGCGGCGUGCCUAACACAUGCAAGUGGAGCGACGGACCAGGGCUUGCCCUGGGGCCAAGCCGCGAACGGGUGAGUAACACGUGGGUAACCUGCCCCGAUGACCGGGACAACCCGAGGAAACUCGGGCUAAUACCGGAUGUUCUCUCCGCACUCAAGUGCGGUGAGAAAAGGAAGCUUCGGCCUCCGCUUCGGGAGGGGCCCGCGGCCCAUUAGCUUGUUGGUGAGGUAACGGCUCACCAAGGCUGCGAUGGGUAGCUGGUCUGAGAGGACGAUCAGCCACACUGGGACUGAGACACGGCCCAGACUCCUACGGGAGGCAGCAGUGGGGAAUCUUGCGCAAUGCGCGAAAGCGUGACGCAGCAACGCCGCGUGGGGGAAGAAGGCCUUCGGGUUGUAAACCCCUUUCAGUUGGGACGAAGGUUCGGCCGUUAAUAGCGGUCCGGACUGACGGUACCUUCAGAAGAGCCCCGGCUACUACGUGCCAGCAGCCGCGGUAUACGAAUCACUAGUGAAUUCGCGGCCGCCUGCAGGUCGACCAUAUGGGAGAGCUCCCAACGCGUG
Molecule: ribosomal RNA, 639 nt
Filed under: uncultured Actinomycetes bacterium
Lineage: Bacteria; Bacillati; Actinomycetota; Actinomycetes
Description: uncultured actinobacterium partial 16S ribosomal RNA
Rfam family: Bacterial small subunit ribosomal RNA
Source: RNAcentral